AUCAGCCUUUCGGGUGCGAUUCUGUGGAGUUUGAGGAGCUUAACACCUUCAUGCUUUGCAUAUUCGUGCUCUUGGGUGUACUUGCCCGUGUGGUUGGUUAACAUCAAUUUCGGGCACCAUAAAAUGGCUGGAGGAAUGUAGCUUCGAUCUUGUAUUGAAGUGUUAUAGCCUUCGGUAGAUGUGGUGAUCGAGAUUGAGGAUUGCAACGGAUACCUUUCGGGGCUACCUGUCUGAUCUCUGAUCGUUGCUUUGGUGCUGAAAGCGUGCUUAUAGUUAUCAAAGUCGAUGGUCAAUAGGUUAGAAUGGUUAAAUUCGUUAAGGAUGUUGACGUAAUGGCUUU
This 340-nucleotide ribosomal RNA is filed under the name uncultured Glomeromycotina. RNAcentral describes it as "eukaryotic LSU rRNA". Lineage: Eukaryota; Fungi; Glomeromycota. The record is from RNAcentral.